UUAAAUUGAAGAGUUUGAUCAUGGCUCAGAUUGAACGCUGGCGGCAGGCCUAACACAUGCAAGUCGAGCGGAAACGAGUUAUCUGAACCUUCGGGGAACGAUAACGGCGUCGAGCGGCGGACGGGUGAGUAAUGCCUAGGAAAUUGCCCUGA
RNAcentral lists this ribosomal RNA (152 nucleotides) under Vibrio parahaemolyticus. Its description in RNAcentral is "partial 16S ribosomal RNA". It matches the Rfam family "Bacterial small subunit ribosomal RNA", at positions 1 to 133 of the family's 1533-position model. Lineage: Bacteria; Pseudomonadati; Pseudomonadota; Gammaproteobacteria; Vibrionales; Vibrionaceae. The record is from RNAcentral.